GACGAACGCUGGCGGCGCGCUUAAUACAUGCAAGUCGAGCGAGAACCAGGGCUUCGGCUCUGGGGACAGCGGCGAACGGGUGAGUAGCACGUGGGUAAUCAACCCCCGACACCGGGAUAGCCCAGGGAAACUUGGAUUAAUACCGGAUGCCCCGUCUGGCCUUCGGGCCGGCCGGAAAAGGGUAGCUUCGGCCUCUGGUCGGGGACGAGCCCGCGGCGGAUUAGCUUGUUGGUGAGGUAAAGGCUCACCAAGGCGACGAUCCGUAGCUGGUCGGAGAGGACGAUCAGCCACACUGGGACUGAGACACGGCCCAGACUCCUACGGGAGGCAGCAGUAGGGAAUCUUGCGCAAUGGGCGAAAGCCUGACGCAGCGACGCCGCGUGAGGGAAGAAGGCCUUCGGGUUGUAAACCUCUUUCAGGAGGGACGAAGCCACUCGGGUUAAUAGCCUAGAGGGUGACGGUACCUCCAGAAGAAGCCCCGGCUAACUACGUGCCAGCCGCCGCCGUAA
RNAcentral lists this ribosomal RNA (509 nucleotides) under uncultured bacterium. Its description in RNAcentral is "partial 16S ribosomal RNA". It matches the Rfam family "Bacterial small subunit ribosomal RNA", at positions 28 to 523 of the family's 1533-position model. The record is from RNAcentral.